Molecule: long non-coding RNA, 2187 nt
Filed under: Medicago truncatula (barrel medic)
Lineage: Eukaryota; Viridiplantae; Streptophyta; Magnoliopsida; Fabales; Fabaceae
Description: long non-coding RNA (MTRU_LNC006855)
Source: RNAcentral
GUCUCAAUGCUGCUAGAAUGGUUCCCCUCAUGUACCACUAUAAGAGCAAUCCAAGCCUCUCUAAUCUCCAGGAACAUGUCAAGUCAUUGAUUAAUGUUGGUGUUGGACGCGAUUAGCAUAUUUUCAAACCUUGUGUUAUGUUGUUUAUGCACAACAUAUUGAUUUUGUAAUUUAAAUUAGGCAAUAUUGUUCUCAUGGUUCUCUUGGUACUAAUUUCCCAUUUGUUUAUUGGUACUCAAACCUUGUACUUCAAUGAAAUUAUAAGCAUUGCAAUUGAACUUCUUAAUCUUACAGCUAACUGCUAUUGGACUUUCCCAUUAAGGUCAUUUACAAAAUAAUGGUGAAAGUGAAGUGUGCCAUAUGUUUCUAUCAAAAGCUUAAUAUAUCCAUUUUGGAAUUCAUCUAGAAGAAUGGUGCAUUACUAAAUUAUGAAGGAAAAUGCCUAAAUGGUGCCACAUGACUAAAAUGAAUCUUAUACCAUGGUGCCACUGUAAUGUUCAGACUAGCAGUGUUACUUGGUUGUUAUUUUUACUGUCAGACAAUUUUUGUGUAAAAUACCUUCUAAGAAAAAAAGAAACAGUUCUUGUGCCACAUGACUAAAAUGAAUCUUAUACCAUGUUGUCAAGGUGACUAAAGUACAUGACACUACAUUUUAAAGGUAUGGUAAGAGUUUGUGACUGUCAUCACAUUGCUGAGAUCCAUUUAAUCAGUGCAAGUCAAUUAUUCAAUGAUUGUAAUGUUACUUAUUUAGAUAUCGAGGCAAACUUUCAAUUAAAACUAAUUAUGAGAACAAUUGUAUUUUUCUGAUUGUGUUUACGAUCAUUGCCGGAUGGACGUUAAGAGUGGUCGGGUCAAGGUUCAUAGAAAACUCAUAACUUCACGUGAAGCACAAGAAAAUAUGCCAUGUUUGUAUAGGAUGCCAUUGUUUACUCAUGUUUCUGUACAUGAAAGCAUAAAAGUUUCAUUUCAAAAUAUUAUAUUUCAUUCUAUAAUGAUUUGAGUUUACAACAAUAUAUAUAUAUAUAUAUAUAUAUAUAUAUAUUUUGAAUCGGCUUAUAUAUAUUCCACCAAAAUCAUAAAAGAUGUACAAGAUGGGGAGAAGGAAAGGAAUUGCAAUUACAAAGGGUCUGAUGUAGCAGUGACCCCAAAUACAUGAAACCAAGCUUUUAUAGGAUAUGUGGUUGGCUAGCAUUGUGUUAUGAUGGUUAGUGACUUCUUUAUAUUUUCCUGAUAAAUAAUUCAUUAAUGAAAUUGAAUUCGUUAACAAGUUUGGUUUAUUUUGACACCAGAUUAAAGCAAAUGGAAAGUACAAGAGCUAUGUGCGCAGUUACUAAUCCUGAUAGAGCAAGACUCUCUAUGGCAACAUUUCAUGAUCCAGCCAAGACAGUCAAGAUUUCCCCUGUUUCUGAACUAAUCAAUGAUUCAUCACCGGCUAAAAGAAGGUGGUGGGUGCACAUGUGACCCAUUUAAGUGCCAAAACUGGGGAUGCUCUUAUUCUCUCAGGGCAAAACAUGAUCUUUCUGAAAAGGAAGAAGGGUAAUGGCGGAAGUGUUAGAGAAGUUGAGGGGUGGCGAUGGCAAGUGGCCACGAAGAAUCAUCAGUUAAAAAUUGUUCUGGAAAGAGAAGUUUAUCAGAAACUGCUAAUGUUGAUUUGAAAUAAUCUUUCUCCAAUAAACGAUUAUGUUUCAUCUUCUUCAAAUAUAUUUUCUUUAGUCGAAAACAAAGGGCAAGACAGUGGUAGUGAAAGAAAGAAAAUUAAAACUUCAAAGCUUUUGUUUUUAAGUGUUUUAAUUGACGAGCUUGAGCUGGUGUGGAGAGAAUGGAAGAUAUGACGAGUUGAUCUUGAAGAAGAAGAAGAUUGAAGCAAAUUUGGGAGAAGCAAAAAGUUUUUUUUUUUCUCUUUUCAUGGAUUUAUUAAGGGCAAAAAGGUCCAUUCAAGUGUUAUUUGCUGACUCAUCCUCAUUAUUUCCUAAUCAAUGUGUGCCACAUCAGCAAUCACAGUCCAUAUCAGCGAGAAAAUGAGAUUAAGGAUCAAAAUUAAAGUGAUUAGUAAUUGCAGUGCUAUAUGAAAAGAUUAGUUAGUCCAAGGACGAAAACUCAAAUGAUACAUAUUUGCCGGAAAGAAUUACAUAAAUAAGUCAAAUUUGCAUGGACUAAAAGCAAAACAACAAAGACCAAAAAAAAAAA